GAUGAACGCUGGCGGCGUGCUUAACACAUGCAAGUCGAACGAUGAAGCCCAGCUUGCUGGGUGGUUUAGUGGCGAACGGGUGAGUAACACGUGAGUAACCUGCCCUUAACUCUGGGAUAAGCCUGGGAAACUGGGUCUAAUACCGGAUAGGAGCGUCCACCGCAUGGUGGGUGUUGGAAAGAUUUAUCGGUUUUGGAUGGACUCUCGGCCAAUCAGCUUGUUGGUGAGGUAAGGGCUCACCAAGGCGACGACGGGUAGGCGGCCUGGGAGGGGGGACGCCCACAAUGGGACUGAGAGACGCACCAGAAGCCUACCGGACGCAACGGGCGGGAAUAUUUCGCAAUGGGGGCGAGUCAGAGACAGCGGUCCCCGGUGAGGGAUGACGGCCUUCGGGUUGUAAACCUCUUUCAGUAGGGAAGAAGCGAAAGUGACGGUACCUGCAGAAGAAGCACCGGCUAACUACGUG
This 466-nucleotide ribosomal RNA is filed under the name uncultured bacterium. RNAcentral's name for it is "partial 16S ribosomal RNA". It matches the Rfam family "Bacterial small subunit ribosomal RNA", at positions 28 to 507 of the family's 1533-position model. The record is from RNAcentral.